Molecule: non-coding RNA, 445 nt
Organism: Macaca mulatta (Rhesus monkey)
Lineage: Eukaryota; Metazoa; Chordata; Mammalia; Primates; Cercopithecidae
Source: Rfam
CAGCCUGUGGUCCUCACCUGGAAACCUCACAGGAAGCCUCACCCAGCCUGGACACGGGCAGGCCUGACAGAUUGACAGCUCUUUCUUGAUUCUAUGGGUGGUGGUGCAUGGCCAUUCUUAGUUGGUGGAGCGAUUUGUCUGGUAAAUUCUGAUAAGGAAUGAGACCCUGGCAUGCUGACUAGUUCCAUGAUCCCUGAGCAGUCGGCCUCCCCCAACUUCUUAGAGGGACAAGUGGUGCUCAGCAACCCGAGAUUGAACAAUAACAGAUCUGUGAUGCUCAUAGUGCCCUACACCAACUGGCUCAGUGUAUGCCUACCCUACGCUGGCAGGCGCUGGCAAACUGUUGAACCCCAUUCGUGAUGGGGAUUGGGGAUUACAAUUAUUCCCCAUGACCGAGGAAUUCCUAGUAAGUGUGCGUCAUAAGCUUGCACUGAUUAAGUCCCUG